AAAAAGAAACCAAGAUACUUACCAUUAUGUCCUUUUCAUUUUAGGAACCUGUCACACAAGGUGGAUAUCUUCCUGACCUUAGGUGCUUUUAUAUUCAGCUCAACAUUCUGAACUCAGGACUUGGCAAGAAUUUCUACGUGGACUGCUCAGUGAGGCAUCCUGAUUCUUCAUCCAGUUCCUUUCCCCAGUGAGAUGCGAAUGUCUUUCGACAGAUUACCUCCAUGGUGUAGGAUGCUUUUCUUUUACUUCUUGUCAGACUCAACACAGAAAAGCCCUGAGGAUGCAGCUGUCCUGUUGACUUCAAGAAGAAAAGAAACAACUGACUUGGGUCUUCUGUAGUUUUUUAAUUAGAAAGACACCGUUUGCAAGUAGAAGGAAGAUGUUGAAUUUGAAACAAGUGCUUAGGUUGUGUGGUGUAAAUUGUUUUCUUUUUAAAAGAUCCAAACAAGAAGACUGAACAAAUACCAAUGAGGGUGACUUCAGGGUUUUUUUUUUAAGUCUUCCAUUUUUAACACUAUUAUAAGCACAGUUGAGACUGCAGUGGUAAAUUCCAAGUAUUAAUAUAAUUUGAGGUGAAAGAAAUGUCAUCUAAAUUCUGGCUCGCUCUUUGACAGACUUCCUGGACAAAAUCAAGAAACGAUAAAAGCAGAAAGGCAUGACACCAGGUUUGAUUUCGUGUGGGAGUGAAACCGUUAGAGUUUUAUGUGUAUAAAUCCACAUUUUUAAACAAGCUUUUUCUCUUGAAGAAGAAACCUGUUGUUUAUUAGAAGGCUUUGGACAGUUUGAUAGUCUUACGUGUUUGGGUUUUGUCUGUUUUCCUUUGCUUUUUCAAUCCUUCUCAGGAAGAACCAGCCGGGCCUGUGGCUAGUUCAGAGUGGGAAGAAAACGUAGGAUGGGGUGAUGCUCACCUUGUACUGCCAGUGCUUGGGAGGCCAAGACAGGAAGAUCAGAUGUUCAGGACCAGCCUGGACAUCAUGAGACUCAAAACCAGCAAGAAAACAACAGAGCCCAGUAACACCCUCUUUUAUAUUCCUUUUGUGGAAUCACAUGUAGCAUGUGAGACUUUGGUUUCCCAUGUGGCUAUGACAGGAAGGGAAGUGGCAUAUGUGGUCUUUCGGUUAAGGUGAUAUUGCGGGCCCUGUUAUGUAACUUGCCUUCACCUUUGGACUUACAGGAAUGAAGGAAAAACUAAGGCUUGGCAUAUAAAUCCUUUUCUCUAAGAAAAGCAAAGUUGUCUAAUGUAGCAUCGUCAGACUUUUCAACAUUUUUACAUUAUAUAGUUGCAUUUUUUAUAAAAGUAUGAAUAAUUUCCUUCAACCCAAGAUGGGUACUUGGACAGAUUUUUUUUUUUAGGUGAUAAUGUAAUGUUAUACUGAAAUUCUGGGACUCAGGUAAUUUUUCCCAGUUUGAAUUGAGCUAUCUUACCAGAGAAUGGACCUCAGAAGCAAUGGUCCCAGUCCUGAGGUUGGUUCGCUAUCAUCUCAGAUUUGGGAUCUGAACAGAACUUCAAGUAAGAGAAGCAGAUCCAAUAAGAAGUGUGGAUGUAGUUGCUAGUCACUGUAGAUGUAAAGGAGAUUGUGGGGUGGGGGUGGGGAUAACUGGAGAAAACUAGUUCCAAUAAGAUGUAAAACAUUCUUUUCUUCCUUAAUAAUUACGUUAUAAGGAACUAUUGUGGAAACAUCUCCUUGCUUCCCAGUUAAUGGAAGUCUAUUAUAUGGGAUGCCAGGCGUUUACAUGGGAGGGUCCCAGUGUUUGCAACGGCUGCCAGCACAGAAGGAGCUUUAGCUUGGUAGAUGAGUUAGGAACAGAUGCUGUGGGAGCUGAUUCUGGAACAGUUUCUAGGUGCUGCAGUGCUGUGAAUUUGAGUCAUAGAAACGAUCAAAGUUAGGAAAUGUUGAACCUUCUUGGUUAGUCAGAUUGGACAACAUAUUUGAAUUUAUACUAAAAGCUUUUUCAUAAAUAUUUAUUAUAAAUAACCUAUUAAUGAGAGCAAAUAACGAUAAAACACUAGAGAAAUAACAAGUUAAAGGUAACCUAAAUUGCUGGGCUUGAUCGCCCACACUUGUAACCACAGUGUUGUGGAGAUUGAGGCAGGAGGACUGGCCACAAAGAUCAAGGCCAGCCUCAAAAUGAAACAAAAAUAUAACCCCCAUUCUUCAAGUGCCCCAACCACUUACAUUUUUAUUUAGAAGACAAAGCCAGCUGGUGAUUGAGAGCCACUCUUAGAUGCCCGCCCCAGCUGUCUGUCCUUCACCUUGCCCUCGGGCAGGCACUGCCUACCAGGGAAGUGUCACCCGUUUGCUCCACACCUUGAAGUGAGUGUACUUUGUCAAAGAUGCUCCUGCAUCCUGCAUUGUUAACACCAAAUGGUGUUCACAGCAUGAGUGGAUUCCAGCCCUAGUUGCCUGGUAUGUGGCACAUUUCCAUUUAUAGUUUUACAUGGGUUUUCUUAAAAGCAGCAAAAUUACCAUGUUAGAACUGUGCCUCCAUUUAUAGCCGUGCCUCCUUCCUUCUCCAUGUAAACUGGCAGUUUUUCUUUUGAAGUUACUAAACAAAAACGGGGUAUGUGCAAUAUAAAUAUAUAUAUAUAUAAUGUAUAUUUUAAUACUUGUGGACAAGUGUUACAAGUUGUUUAAGAACAACAAAAUCACCAAUGUCUUCCAUUUUGAGAUGUGUAUAGUUUUGUAAUCAGUAGUGCUUGGUAGCAUAUUGUAGUGUCAUGUUAGGGGUUAGUGCAUGAAUUUAGUAUAAUUUUAAACUACGAGAUGAAAUAUUGAUAAUAACCAGUAGUGUAAAAAGUGUGGAAAAUCCUAGACCUUUUGUGUAUGAAUCUAUGGUAGCCUCCCUGGGGAUAGGAGAUAAAGACCAAAACAGCUAAUGUCUGAACAGAAAUGUGGGUUCAUACUGAGAAACAUUGUGCUUGGGGGAAUGUUAAGCCUCUAACAGGUCGCUAGAAAUAGUUGCCUUUGUAGCUCUUCAGUCCUCAGAGCAAGGCCAUGGUUCAUGGUUGUCUUGCUGUCUCAGUUUGAAGCUAGCUUGUUCUUGUAUUGACUUUGCAUUGUAUGUCUUGGGUUUAUUUUUCCUAUUAUGUGUCUAGAAAAUUUCUGUUUGCAUGUCUGAGAUGCUAUGCCGAUUGCUUUGGAAUGUUUACUCUGUGGCCAUUUCCUUUCCUGAUUGCAGCAUGUGUGCUGAUUGCAGAACCUUGUCAGCAAUUUGGAGUAUCCUGUGCUUUGACCAGUUCCACCUCUGACUUGGGUGUUGAGUCCAGUCUUUCUCAUAACUGAUAGCUCAGUGGGGCCCAUGUAGGUUGACAAGAAGUAUGUUGGCCUCUCCUUUUGCUUUGUUCUGAAAAAUAAAGUUUUCUGUAAAAUGGAA
Long non-coding RNA from Rattus rattus (black rat), 3375 nucleotides. RefSeq lists it as uncharacterized. NCBI's taxonomy places the organism in Eukaryota, Metazoa, Chordata, Mammalia, Rodentia, Muridae. The record is from RefSeq and is a predicted model, not a curated record. The transcript has 2 exons.